This 27-nucleotide ribosomal RNA is filed under the name Hypoxylon sp. MA156. Its description in RNAcentral is "partial 18S ribosomal RNA". The record is from RNAcentral. Lineage: Eukaryota; Fungi; Ascomycota; Sordariomycetes; Xylariales; Hypoxylaceae.
GUUUAGGUACCUGCGGAGGGAUCAUUA